This 74-nucleotide small RNA is filed under the name Novosphingobium sp. AAP1. RNAcentral's name for it is "Makes More Granules Regulator RNA (mmgR)". It matches the Rfam family "Makes More Granules Regulator RNA (mmgR)". Rfam says of the family: SuhB later renamed mmgR (makes more granules regulator) was a putative non-coding RNA found multiple times in the Agrobacterium tumefaciens genome and related alpha-proteobacteria. Other non-coding RNAs uncovered in the same analysis include: speF, ybhL, metA, and serC. Several studies inSinorhizobium meliloti showed that suhB element is indeed a non-coding RNA:firstly it was detected on Northern blot and called Sm8RNA, secondly in an RNAseq study referred to as SmelC689. RNAcentral also lists the same sequence under 4 other names. Lineage: Bacteria; Pseudomonadati; Pseudomonadota; Alphaproteobacteria; Sphingomonadales; Sphingomonadaceae. The record is from Rfam by way of RNAcentral.
GGAACGGGCCUUUCAGGCAUCCUCUCCCAAACUUUCAAAGGCCAGCCUUCGGGCUGGCCAUUUUUUUGUCUGCA